GAUGAACGCUGGCGGCGUGCCUAAUACAUGCAAGUCGAGCGAAUGGAUUAAGAGCUUGCUCUUAUGAAGUUAGCGGCGGACGGGUGAGUAACACGUGGGUAACCUGCCCAUAAGACUGGGAUAACUCCGGGAAACCGGGGCUAAUACCGGAUAACAUUUUGAACCGCAUGGUUCGAAAUUGAAAGGCGGCUCCGGCUGUCACUUAUGGAUGGACCCGCGUCGCAUUAGCUAGUUGGUGAGGUAACGGCUCACCAAGGCAACGAUGCGUAGCCGACCUGGGAGGGUGAUCGGCCACACUGGGACUGAGACACGGCCCAGAGUCCUGCGGGAGGCAGCAGUAGGGAAUCUUCCGCAAUGGACGAAAGUCUGACGGAGCAACGCCGCGUGAGUGAGGAAGGCUUUCGGGUCGUAAAACUCUGUUGUUAGGGAAGAACAAGUGCUAGUUGAAUAAGCUGGCACCUUGACGGUACCUAACCAGAAAGCCACGGCUAACUACGUGCCAGCCGCCGCAGUAA
RNAcentral lists this ribosomal RNA (515 nucleotides) under uncultured bacterium. RNAcentral describes it as "partial 16S ribosomal RNA". It matches the Rfam family "Bacterial small subunit ribosomal RNA", at positions 28 to 523 of the family's 1533-position model. The record is from RNAcentral.